GGGGACAUGGUUCAUCAGUAGAGCACUUGCCUAGCAAGAAUGAGGCCCUGAGUUCAAAUCCCAGUAUUGUCU
RNAcentral lists this transfer RNA (72 nucleotides) under Dipodomys ordii (Ord's kangaroo rat). It matches the Rfam family "tRNA". Rfam says of the family: Transfer RNA (tRNA) molecules are approximately 80 nucleotides in length. Their secondary structure includes four short double-helical elements and three loops (D, anti-codon, and T loops). Lineage: Eukaryota; Metazoa; Chordata; Mammalia; Rodentia; Heteromyidae. The record is from Rfam by way of RNAcentral.